This 274-nucleotide long non-coding RNA is filed under the name Solanum tuberosum (potato). Its description in RNAcentral is "long non-coding RNA (STUB_LNC008540)". Lineage: Eukaryota; Viridiplantae; Streptophyta; Magnoliopsida; Solanales; Solanaceae. The record is from RNAcentral.
CAUCAUCUAGUAAUCUCAAUAUUUUACCACUAAAUAAGAAAUCAAAAAUAUUUUUAUAUGCUUCAAUUGGUUCAAAUCUAUUUUAAAGUGAAAAAAUAGUUUGAUCUACUCUACAUAUAUAACGUAAUCAACUCUAAAGAUUCUUCGAGGGACUUAGUGAUUUCGUUAUCCAUAUUUUCAUCAAAUUGUUUCUUACGAAAAUUAUAUUUAUAUUCAUGUCAUAUGCAAUUUCUUUAGUAGAAAUCAUAGCACUCAUAGUACAUAUAAUUUAUUU